This 253-nucleotide ribosomal RNA is filed under the name uncultured bacterium. RNAcentral describes it as "partial 16S ribosomal RNA". It matches the Rfam family "Bacterial small subunit ribosomal RNA", at positions 524 to 776 of the family's 1533-position model. The record is from RNAcentral.
UACAGAGGGGGCAAGCGUUGUUCGGAAUUACUGGGCGUAAAGGGCGCGUAGGCGGCCGCCUAAGUCAGACGUGAAAUCCCUCGGCUCAACCGGGGAACUGCGUCUGAUACUGGGUGGCUUGAAUCCGGGAGAGGGAUGCGGAAUUCCCGGUGUAGUGGUGGAAUGCGUAGAUAUCGGGAGGAACACCAGUGGCGAAGGCGGUUGCCUGGAGCUUUGCUGACGCUGAUGCGCGAAAGCGUGGGGAGCGAUCAGG